RNAcentral lists this ribosomal RNA (258 nucleotides) under uncultured bacterium. Its description in RNAcentral is "partial 16S ribosomal RNA". It matches the Rfam family "Bacterial small subunit ribosomal RNA", at positions 524 to 776 of the family's 1533-position model. The record is from RNAcentral.
UACGUAGGGGCUAGCGUUGUCCGGAAUUAUUGGGCGUAAAGAGCGUGUAGGCGGUCCGGUAAGUCGGCUGUGAAAGUCCAGGCUCAACCCUGGGAUGCCGGUCGAUACUGCCGGCUAGAGUUCGGAAGAGGCGAGUGGGAAUUCCUGGUGUAGCGGUGAAAGUGACGCAGAGUAUCAGGAAGAACACCCGUGGCUAAGGCGGCUCUCUAGUACGGUACUGACGCUGAGACGCGAAAAGCCGUGGGGGAGCGAAACAGG